This is a long non-coding RNA of Solenopsis invicta (red fire ant), 601 nucleotides long. RefSeq lists it as uncharacterized. The record is from RefSeq and is a predicted model, not a curated record. Lineage: Eukaryota; Metazoa; Arthropoda; Insecta; Hymenoptera; Formicidae. The transcript has 3 exons.
UCAAAACUGCUCGUGGGACAUGCUUUCCUGAACCCGUUUCGGAGAAGAACGCGUUAAAGGAAUCGUCUCCUCCACCAAUGGUAACAUCUGAUGGCAUCUGUCCAUCUGGAUGAAUACCAUGUUCCAGACAAUAAAGCUCCCAGCAAGCGUUUCCCAUUUGCACGCCCGCUUGCCCUAUGUGGAUGGAUAUGCAUUCCCUCUGCGAACAAACACAAUAUAUUCCAAUGUCUCGACAGUAGUACAUGUGAAGAUAGAUCACUCCCACACAUCCCACAGUGAGAUGCUCAUCCCAAAUAAUACAAAUUUCUAAUUAAUCGCGCACAUGACUAAAAUCUAUCAAACGAGCUUAAUAAGCCUAACGAUUGACUGAGCAAGAACCGAGGAAAGCUUAACAAGGGAUGAUUACUGGUGACUUAGACGUCGUCAACUAAAGCAGUGUCUUUAUCACUGUCAACAAGAUCCGGUAGAAAAAUGUCACCUUGACCCGACGUGUCCUUGAUAAUUCAACUGUACCCUAAAAGUUGACACACUGUAACCAUAGCAGCUUAAUCGAAUAUCAAACUGCACACCCGCAUAUGACACGAUUGCACGCUUCACCAAA